This 1530-nucleotide long non-coding RNA is filed under the name Spirodela polyrhiza (greater duckweed). RNAcentral describes it as "long non-coding RNA (SPOL_LNC000409)". The record is from RNAcentral. Lineage: Eukaryota; Viridiplantae; Streptophyta; Magnoliopsida; Alismatales; Araceae.
UCUCUUUCACCGUUUAAUAUUUUAUGGUCAACAACUAUCCAUUGGACGCGAGAGAACAAAUAGAAGGCAACUAGCUAUGGGAAAUAACCCAGUAUGGAGGCAUAGUAUUGGCAUCAGAUAGUCUCCUUAAAUUCAGGAAAAUAACUCAAUGGGGAUCGUUCCCUAUUGAUAAUGGACUUCAGACUAACCCGCAGAUAUCGUAUGAAAAGAAAGAUUUCGUAUACUUUGACAUUGAAAGCCAUUAUUCUGUAUGUUUAUUUGAAAUGAUUAAAUGGCUAUGUUCCUCUCUAGGAAUGAACAUUGUCAAUUUACCAAGACAACUCAAGCUUAAGGCUCGGAUAUUUAACUCACUAUGGACUUUGAAUAGACGUGAUUCUGAGAGGAGGAACCAUGCUUCUUGUUGGCGGACGUUUGUCAGAGAAAAUGGUGACACAUACUAAUGCAUUGAAUUACACAGGCUUCUGUCAGAUUCCAAUUAUAAUUUAGUUUUCCACAGGCAUUAGACUGGCUUCCAAACCUAAGCUCCUGGUUGAAUCCAUUGCACCAUUCCCAGAGUCGGCGGCGAAGUUUGUCCCCAACAUCAAUGCCGUGCACCCUACAAAGAGAAAUGUGGGAGGCUUAACUUGACAUAAUCGAGAAGAGUAUCGGUCGGUAGAUAAAACAUUAAACUUGCGUACUAUAUAAAACUAGGGUUCCGUGCUGCACUUGACUGGACUUACAUGCCGACGUUCUAUAGACUAGGGAUAAGAGGUGUCCAAUAAUUGUGAGCAGCAGAAUCAAGUAGAUGGAAGCUUGAAGUAUUCAUGUCUUAGCUUUUGAGAUGCACGUUUGUCGAUGUGACAACUCAGAAAUGCCAGAAGUAGCACAGGUUUCUCAACAGAAAAGGGGCGAUCUAGGAAGUUUCUGAUGCAGCACACCCCAACCAUGUCUUGAUCAAGAAGGUGAUUUGAAUCAAAUUGGGGAAAUGACCAACAUAGAAGGUGUCAACGACGCCCUUGUUCCAGCUACACGCCGGUCACGCCACCAAAGCAAAUGUUUGGUAAUAGAAGGUUUCCUUCAUCAUUUACUUAUUAAGAUUUUGCUGUAGAGAGGCCUAUAAAUUGGCCUUCAGACCUUUGAUUCGGGGGAAUUGAAAAUGGAGUUUUGAGGAUUAGUUCCUUACCUUACCUGAUCGCAAGAUCCCGUCGCCCCGGCUAAGGUGGUCGGAGGACCCGCUACUCCCGGUCUGGAGAACCCUUCCCCAUCCCUUCUUUUCUUCUAUCGCCGCCAGCCACCACCGCCUGUACUGCCUGUACCGCCAUCACUUGCCAUUGUCGCCGUCAUCGCCUCCCCCUCCGCCGCCGCUGCCGUCCAUCGCCCUCUCCACCGCGGGCGGUCCCCUCCAGCAGCCAUCACCGUUCGUUGUCGUCCCCUCUUUGCUGCCCACCACCGCCGUCGCCGCUGUCGACCACCGCCUCACGGUCAUCAUACCGCUUCCCACUGCCGCCCUCACCUCUCUCAAUCUCGCCCCUCCCGUUUCCGGCUUCCCCG